This 464-nucleotide ribosomal RNA is filed under the name uncultured bacterium. RNAcentral's name for it is "bacterial SSU rRNA". It matches the Rfam family "Bacterial small subunit ribosomal RNA", at positions 331 to 792 of the family's 1533-position model. The record is from RNAcentral.
CCAGACUCCUACGGGAGGCAGCAGUGAGGAAUAUUGGUCAAUGGGCUUACGCCUGAACCAGCCAAGUCGCGUGAGGGAAGACUGCCCUAUGGGUUGUAAACCUCUUUUGUCAGGGAGCAACGCCGGCUACGUGUAGCCGGACUGAGAGUACCUGAAGAAAAAGCAUCGGCUAACUCCGUGCCAGCAGCCGCGGUAAUACGGAGGAUGCGAGCGUUAUCCGGAUUUAUUGGGUUUAAAGGGUGCGCAGGCGGCACGGCAAGCCGGCGGUCAAAUCGCGGGGCUCAACCCCGCCCAGCCGUCGGAACUGCCGGGCUAGAGUGGGCGAGAAGUGCGCGGAAUGCGUGGUGUAGCGGUGAAAUGCAUAGAUAUCACGCAGAACUCCGAUUGCGAAGGCAGCGCACCGGCGCCCUACUGACGCUCAGGCACGAAAGCGUGGGUAUCGAACAGGAUUAGAUACCCCAGUA